RNAcentral lists this ribosomal RNA (416 nucleotides) under uncultured bacterium. RNAcentral describes it as "bacterial SSU rRNA". It matches the Rfam family "Bacterial small subunit ribosomal RNA", at positions 506 to 920 of the family's 1533-position model. The record is from RNAcentral.
GGCCAGCAGCCGCGGUAAGACAGAGGAUGCAAGCGUUAUCCGGAAUGAUUGGGCGUAAAGCGUCUGUAGGUGGCUUAAAAAGUCUCCUGUCAAAGAUCAGGGCUUAACCCUGGGCCGGCAGGAGAAACUCUUAGGCUAGAGUUUGGUAGGGGCAGAGGGAAUUCCCGGUGGAGCGGUGAAAUGCGUAGAGAUCGGGAGGAACACCAAAGGCGAAAGCACUCUGCUGGGCCACAACUGACACUGAGAGACGAAAGCGAGGGGAGCAAAAGGGAUUAGAUACCCCUGUAGUCCUCGCCGUAAACGAUGGAUACUAGAUGUUGGAUAGGUUAAAGCAUUCAGUAUCGUAGCUAACGCGUGAAGUAUCCCGCCUGGGGAGUAUGCUCGCAAGAGUGAAACUUAAAGGAAUUGGCGGGGGA